CUACGGGAUGCUGCAGUGAGGAAUAUUGGUCAAUGGGCGAAAGCCUGAACCAGCCAUGCCGCGUGAAGGAUGACGGCCCUAUGGGUUGUAAACUUCUUUUAUACGGGAAGAAACACCUCUACGUGUAGAGGUUUGACGGUACCGUACGAAUAAGCAUCGGCUAACUCCGGGCCAGCAGCCGCGGUAAUACGGAGGAUGCAAGCGUUAUCCGGAUUUAUUGGGUUUAAAGGGUACGUAGGCGGAAACUUAAGUCAGUAGUGAAAUCCCGCAGCUUAACUGUGGAACUGUUAUUGAUACUGGGUUUCUUGAAUAUUGUUGAGGUAGGCGGAAUAAGUAAUGUAGCGGUGAAAUGCUUAGAUAUUACUUAGAACACCGAUUGCGAAGGCAGCUUACUAAGCAAUUAUUGACGCUGAGGUACGAAAGCGUGGGGAGCGAACAGGAUUAGAUACCCGGGUAGUC
RNAcentral lists this ribosomal RNA (459 nucleotides) under uncultured bacterium. Its description in RNAcentral is "partial 16S ribosomal RNA". It matches the Rfam family "Bacterial small subunit ribosomal RNA", at positions 339 to 795 of the family's 1533-position model. The record is from RNAcentral.